Molecule: long non-coding RNA, 694 nt
Organism: Xiphias gladius (swordfish)
Lineage: Eukaryota; Metazoa; Chordata; Actinopteri; Istiophoriformes; Xiphiidae
Exons: 2
Source: RefSeq, a predicted model, not a curated record
AAUGGAUCUGAGUCUCUGUGUUCCCUUCACUGCUUGCCGGUUCGUCUGUGUUUGCUCCCUCUUGUUUCUCCCUACAUUGGAGUGUCCGUUUUGUUCCUAAGUUUUCCUCGUGUUUAUUUUCCCACUACCUGUAUUCCUGUCUGCCAUCUUGUUCGACCGUUUAACUGGAGGCAUCUGAUCGGUACCAGAUUCAUUCUGCAGCAGGACAACGAGCCCAAAACUACAGCCAGAGUCAUUAAGACCUAUCUUUAGUGCCAAGAAGACCAAGGAGUCCUGCAACAGGUGUUCUGGCCCCCAGAGAGCCCUGAUCUCGACAUCAUGGAGUCAGUGUGGGAUUAGAUGAAGAGACAAAGGACACUGAGACAGACUACAACCCCAGAGGAACUGUGGCAAGUGGAACAAUCUACCUGCCAAGCACCUUGAAAAGGCAAAGGGUAGUCAGACCAAAUACUGAUUUGAUUUAGUUUUUUCCUGUUUACUGCACUUUUUAUGAAGUUAACUGAUAAAACUAUUAAUAGCAUUAUUUUUGAAAGCAUCCUCACUUUUACUUUUAGUCACUAAAACUCCUGCACAUUACUGUACAUACUAUGUAUGUGUGUGCAUACAUGUUUUUCAUUCUUUCUUUGUUUUUUAGAUUAUUCUUUGUAUGCUUGACUCACAUUCAAAAUAAUAAAUACUAUGGUUUUUAAAGUUA